AUAAGCAUAUCAAUAAGCGGAGGAAAAGAAACCAACAGGGAUUGCCCUAGUAACGGCGAGUGAAGCGGCAACAGCUCAAAUUUGAAAUCUGGCUUCGGCCCGAGUUGUAAUUUGCAGAGGAAGCUUUGGGCGCGGUACCGACUGAGUCCCCUGGAACGGGGCGCCACAGAGGGUGAGAGCCCCGUAUAGUUGGACGCCUAGCCUGUGUAAAGCUCCUUCGACGAGUCGAGUAGUUUGGGAAUGCUGCUCAAAAUGGGAGGUAAAUUUCUUCUAAAGCUAAAUACCGGCCAGAGACCGAUAGCGCACAAGUAGAGUGAUCGAAAGAUGAAAAGCACUUUGAAAAGAGGGUUAAAUAGCACGUGAAAUUGUUGAAAGGGAAGCGCUUGUGACCAGACUUGCGCCCGGCUGAUCAUCCGGUGUUCUCACCGGUGCACUCUGCCGGGCUCAGGCCAGCAUCGGUUCUCGCGGGGGGAUAAAGGUCCUGGGAACGUAGCUCCUCCGGGAGUGUUAUAGCCCAGGGCGCCAUGCCCCCGCGGGGACCGAGGACCGCGCUCUGCAAGGAUGCUGGCGUAAUGGUCAUCAGCGACCCGUCUUGAAACACGGACCAAGGAGUCAAGGUUUUGCGCGAGUGUUUGGGUGUAAAACCCGCACGCGUAAUGAAAGUGAACGUAGGUGAGAGCUUCGGCGCAUCAUCGACCGAUCCUGAUGUUUUCGGAUGGAUUUGAGUAGGAGCGUUAAGCCUUGGACCCGAAAGAUGGUGAACUAUGCUUGGAUAGGGUGAAGCCAGAGGAAACUCUGGUGGAGGCUCGCAGCGGUUCUGACGUGCAAAUCGAUCGUCAAAUCUGAGCAUGGGGGCGAAAGACUAAUCGAACCAUCUAGUAGCUGGUUACCGCCGAU
This 897-nucleotide ribosomal RNA is filed under the name Humicola seminuda. RNAcentral describes it as "LSU rRNA". It matches the Rfam family "Eukaryotic large subunit ribosomal RNA", at positions 34 to 965 of the family's 3401-position model. The record is from RNAcentral. Lineage: Eukaryota; Fungi; Ascomycota; Sordariomycetes; Sordariales; Chaetomiaceae.